Sander lucioperca (pikeperch) is the source of this 365-nucleotide long non-coding RNA. RefSeq lists it as uncharacterized. The transcript has 5 exons. NCBI's taxonomy places the organism in Eukaryota, Metazoa, Chordata, Actinopteri, Perciformes, Percidae. The record is from RefSeq and is a predicted model, not a curated record.
CCCACCCAAUCUCCCACCCAAUCUCCCACCCCAUGUUGGUCCACCCUUCUCCAUUAAUGUAUCACAUAAAACAACUUGUAUCUGUAUCUUGACUUUGUUGCAACAGUACAACUGGUUGAAAAAAGAAAAAAAAAAAAAAAAAAGAAAAGUUUCUUUUCUCUUUAAGUGGCAAGAGUCAUAGCUACCUUAUCAAAAUAUGAGAGGAGAGGCUUCCAUGUAGUGUAGAAUUUCUCAGUUGACCCUCUAAGUGAGAAUUUAAUCUUUUCUAGCUUAAGGAAUGACAUUGAAUCAGUCUCCCAAGACUCAUCUGCUGCGGGUUUGGGUGACUUCCAAUUUUGUAAUCAUGAUAUCAACUGUGUCAUUUU